Long non-coding RNA from Coregonus clupeaformis (lake whitefish), 245 nucleotides. RefSeq lists it as uncharacterized. The record is from RefSeq and is a predicted model, not a curated record. NCBI's taxonomy places the organism in Eukaryota, Metazoa, Chordata, Actinopteri, Salmoniformes, Salmonidae. The transcript has 4 exons.
UCUCUGAGGCUGGCCGGUAUCCGACAUGCUAUGGAGGCUCUGACAUCCUCAGACAGUACCUCCCUUAAUUACCUCACCCACGCUGGGAGGAUGGUGUUGAGCGGAUUGUCCGAGCUCAACCAGCAGGAUGUGAGGCAGUUUCAGCAGGCCUACGACCUCCUGGUGAACUUCAUUAAUGAGCCAGCAAACAGGGAGCGACUAGAGCAAGAGAUGGCUCUUGUAGGAAUCGACCGCAUCAACUUCGU